CCCCAGUAAACGGCGGCCGUAACUAUAACGGUCCUAAGGUAGCGAAAUUCCUUGUCGGGUAAGUUCCGACCUGCACGAAUGGCGUAAUGAUGGCCAGGCUGUCUCCACCCGAGACUCAGUGAAAUUGAACUCGCUGUGAAGAUGCAGUGUACCCGCGGCAAGACGGAAAGACCCCGUGAACCUUUACUAUAGCUUGACACUGAACAUUGAGCCUUGAUGUGUAGGAUAGGUGGGAGGCUUUGAAGUGUGGACGCCAGUCUGCAUGGAGCCAACCUUGAAAUACCACCCUUUAACGUUUGAUGUUCUAACCUAGGCCCAUAAACUGGGUCGGGGACCGUGUCUGGUGGGUAGUUUGACUGGGGCGGUCUCCUCCUAAAGAGUAACGGAGGAGCACGAAGGUUGGCUAAGCAUGGUCGGACAUCAUGCGGUUAGUGCAAAGGCAUAAGCCAGCUUGACUGCGAGAGUGACGGCUCGAGCAGGUACGAAAGUAGGUCUUAGUGAUCCGGUGGUUCUGAAUGGAAGGGCCAUCGCUCAACGGAUAAAAGGUACUCCGGGGAUAACAGGCUGAUACCGCCCAAGAGUUCAUAUCGACGGCGGUGUUUGGCACCUCGAUGUCGGCUCAUCACAUCCUGGGGCUGAAGUAGGUCCCAAGGGUAUGGCUGUUCGCCAUUUAAAGUGGUACGCGAGCUGGGUUUAGAACGUCGUGAGACAGUUCGGUCCCUAUCUGCCGUGGGCGUUGGAAGAUUGAGAGGGGUUGCUCCUAGUACGAGAGGACCGGAGUGAACGCACCACUGGUGUUCGGGUUGUCAUGCCAAUGGCAUUGCCCGGUAGCUAAGUGCGGAAGAGAUAACCGCUGAAAGCAUCUAAGCGGGAAACUUGCCUCGAGAUGAGUCUUCCCUGUCGCUUUAAGCGACCUAAAGGAACGUUUAAGACUAAGACGUUGAUAGGCUGGGUGUGUAAGCGUAGCGAUACGUUGAGCUAACCAGUACUAAUGAACCGUGAGGCUUAACCUG
RNAcentral lists this ribosomal RNA (1013 nucleotides) under Proteus mirabilis. Its description in RNAcentral is "partial 23S ribosomal RNA". It matches the Rfam family "Bacterial large subunit ribosomal RNA", at positions 1918 to 2925 of the family's 2925-position model. The record is from RNAcentral. Lineage: Bacteria; Pseudomonadati; Pseudomonadota; Gammaproteobacteria; Enterobacterales; Morganellaceae.